This 74-nucleotide transfer RNA is filed under the name Candidatus Levyibacteriota bacterium. Its description in RNAcentral is "tRNA-Gly". It matches the Rfam family "tRNA". Rfam says of the family: Transfer RNA (tRNA) molecules are approximately 80 nucleotides in length. Their secondary structure includes four short double-helical elements and three loops (D, anti-codon, and T loops). Lineage: Bacteria; Candidatus Levyibacteriota. RNAcentral also lists the same sequence under 2 other names. The record is from RNAcentral.
GCGGGUGUAGUUCAAUGGUAGAACGCAACUUUUCCAAAGUUGUCACGAGGGUUCGAUUCCCUUCACCCGCUCCA